Molecule: long non-coding RNA, 2518 nt
Filed under: Canis lupus familiaris (dog)
Lineage: Eukaryota; Metazoa; Chordata; Mammalia; Carnivora; Canidae
Description: lncRNA (ENSCAFG00000057248.1)
Source: RNAcentral
AUGGAGACACAGGCCACAGGCAGAGGGAGAAGCAGGCUCCAUGCAGGGAGCCUGACAUGGGGCUUGAUCCCAGGUUUCCAGGAUCAGGUCCUAGGCUGAAGGCUGCACUAAACCACUGAGCUACCUGGGCUGCCCUUAACAUUAUGUCUAUAAGGUGAAACAAACAAACAAACAAAAAAUGUGGCUUCUCUCAAAAUUUAAUGCCUGGUAGUUAAUCCAUCCCCUUUGUCAUUUAUAUCAAGAAAUUGCCACAAAUAUGUCAGAAUUCACUAAUCACUUUUGGAGACCAAGUUGUUCAAUCUCAGGUCCCAGUGUCUCCCAGGUCCAUAAUUUUAUAGAAGUCAGAGUAAAGAGACCAGUAAGACUCCUGGAAGUCUCACCAUCCCUGCAUCAUCCAUUUGUAGAGAAGGUUUACAGAUGCACCAUGACUGGAGCUCAAGACACAGUUCAUUUAUCCUUCUCCUAGCAGCUGAUUACAUAGACGUAUGUGACAAUCAAUAUUCAUGCCCUCCGCUCCUUCCUGAGGGAGAGACAUGAAUUUUCACUAUCAAAGAGCCAUCACUGUCUAAUUUACCAAAGAGCAUGAGGAAUGAAAUCAAAGAUUGACCUAGACUAUGACCAAUUUAUGUCAGACAAGCAAAUUAUGAUAAAACUGUGCCUCUUGUUGAAAGAACAGAAGUAUUUAUUAUUUGGAAUGCUUUUAAAUUGCAUUGUUAUAUUUUUCAACAUCACAGGAUGAUUCCUCUUAAUAAAUCUUUUCCUUGGUAUGAGUUAAUAGAAAAUAAAUGUCUUGGUCUCUGCCCUGGAACUCCGGAAGCCUUGUAAUUUUCUACAUGACAGGAGUGUCUUUUGUUCUUUUGUGGCAACUCCCUGGUGAGCUUCUGGAUGGUUCCUGGAUAGGAGCUGGUCACCGGAAGGUCCAAGCCAAGAUUAGGAACUUGGUAUUUUCAGCCCUAACUCCCAUUGUCUUGAGAUGGGAGAGAACUGAAAAUGGAGUUAAUGAUCAAUCAUGCCUACAUGAUGGGGCCUCCUUAAAAUCCCAAAAGUAGAAUGUUUGGAGAGCUUCCAGUUAGGGUGACAUACCCCAACUCCAUGGGAACAGGAGGAGCUUCUGUGCUUGGGACCCUUCCAGAAUCUCCCCCCACCUGCCCCUCAUGUAUAUUUUGUCUGGCUGUUCAUCUAUAACCUUUAUGGUGUCCUUUAAUCAACUGGUAAACAUACGCAAGUGUUUUCUUGAGUUAUGUAAGCCACUCUAGCAAAUAAGUUUGAACCUGAGGAAAGAGUCAUUGGAACCUCCUAUCUAUUUAACUGGUUGGUCAGAAGCACAGGGGACAACCUGGACUUGUGACUGGCUUCUAAAUCUGAGGGGUCAGUCUUUGGGACUGAGCCCUUUCCCUAUGAGAUCUGAUGCUAAUCUCUGGGUACAGAGUGUCAGAACUGAGUUUAAUUGUAGGAUAUCCAGCUGCUGUCUGAGACUUACUUGUUGUUGUGGGGAAAACCCACACUUCAGAAGGGAACUGUGCUGUGUGAGUGUGAUAGUGGCAUGAAAGUAAGGGAAACAUAUAGGAGAGAAAGAUACAGAAGGUGGAAAACCGAGUUUUUCUUUUUUACUUAGUGUCUGUCAAAAUAAUAUUCACCUGAUUUUGGAGGCAAACGGUAGAGAACACUUUACCUUUAGAUCUUUGAGUAACACUGUUCAAAAAAUGCUGCAAUAUCAUCAAAACCCUUUUAAAGUACUCUUGAAUUAGCCCAAUAAUUGGUAGGAAAAAAAAGACAAUCAUGAUAUGAAAAAAAAAAGUGUUGAUGUAAAUGUCUAUUGGAUGUUAUUUCGAUCUCUAUGUUCCUAGUAUAUUCUGCUAAUACUUUGGAAUCAUUUUAUUUUUGGUAGCAAUGUUAGGUGUUAUAAAAGACAAACUCUCUGUUAUAUUAAAUUGCCUGUGCUCAUGUCCUUCACUUGGCCUCAAAAUACAACAUGUUCUUUCUCUAAAGAAUAAUAACUCAAAAGUUUUUCCAAAUAAUCACUUUUUAAGGAUAUUUUGGUAAACAUAAAUUCACAUUAAAAAGUGUAGAGAAACAGAAUUACAGAAUUUUUACUGUAACAUCCUAUAACUUGUGUAUAUAUAGUGUAUAGGAAUCAGUAUUUCUGAAGAAGCUUGUUUUACCUUUUUUUGUGAUCUUUAUACCAUUUUCCCUUUUCACACUAAAAGUUAUUUUCAUACAGUGGGAAAUAUGAUUGUGAUUCCCUAUCAUUUGGAUGGUUCCUUAAAUUAUAUUUCUCAUAACAGUGUUAAGUUUUGGGGGGCACCAGGGUGGCUCAGUCAGUUAAGCGUCCAACUCUUAUUUUUGGUUCAGAUCAUGAUCUUGGGGUUGUGAGAUCGAGCCCCAAGUCAAGCUCCCUGCUAUCCACUCAUUAUUCACAGAAAUACUUAUUGAGCAUCAUUUGUGCAUAAGAAACUAUGCUGAAUGUUGGACAGGACACAAAGAUAAAACAUUCUCCUUGCCUAAAAAAAAAAAAAAA